RNAcentral lists this ribosomal RNA (698 nucleotides) under uncultured bacterium. RNAcentral describes it as "bacterial SSU rRNA". The stretch from base 73 to 698 matches the Rfam family "Bacterial small subunit ribosomal RNA", at positions 874 to 1515 of the family's 1533-position model. The record is from RNAcentral.
CGCUAGACGUGCGAGGGACCAUAUCUGUCCGUAAGAUAUUGUCGGACAAUUUCGCCGCACACCAAAUAUCCCUGUGAGUCUUCCCAAAUAAACAAAAGAAUGGGCGGACCCGCACAAGCGUUGGGGCAUGUGUUUAUUCGAAGCAACGGGAAGACCUUACCCAAGUCUUGACAUCCAACUGACAGAGGAAGUAAUGUUCCUUUCCUUCGGGCAGUGAGACAGGUGGUGCAUGGUGUCGUCAGCUCGUGUCGUGAGAUGUUGGGUUAAGUCCCGCAACGAGCGCAACCCUUAUCUUUAGUAGCCAGCAUUUCGGGUGGGCACUCUAGAGAGACUGCCGGGGAUAACCCGGAGGAAGGUGGGGAUGACGUCAAAUCAUCAUGCCCCUUAUGAUUUGGGCUACACACGUGCUACAAUGGCGUAAACAAAGGGAAGCGACCCUGUGAGGGCGAGCAAAUCCCAAAAAUAACGUCUCAGUUCGGAUUGUAGUCUGCAACUCGACUACAUGAAGCUGGAAUCGCUAGUAAUCGCGGAUCAGAAUGCCGCGGUGAAUACGUUCCCGGGUCUUGUACACACCGCCCGUCACACCAUGGGAGUCGGAAAUGCCCGAAGUCAGUGACCUAACCGCAAGGAGGGAGCUGCCGAAGGCAGGUCGGAUAACUGGGGUGAAGUCGUAACAAGGUAGCCGUAUCGGAAGGUGC